Molecule: small nuclear RNA, 160 nt
Organism: Crocodylus porosus (Australian saltwater crocodile)
Lineage: Eukaryota; Metazoa; Chordata; Crocodylia; Crocodylidae
Gene: U1
Rfam family: U1 spliceosomal RNA
About the family: U1 is a small nuclear RNA (snRNA) component of the spliceosome (involved in pre-mRNA splicing). Its 5' end forms complementary base pairs with the 5' splice junction, thus defining the 5' donor site of an intron.
Source: Ensembl
AAAAAAAAGAAGUACUGGACUCUUGGGAUAAGAUAAGGUAUAAGGUGAAGCCUGCCCCUUGCACCCCAGGCAAGCUGACCCCCAUGAGUCCCCUCAAAUGCAGGGAUCUUGACUGCAUAAUUUUGUGGCUAUAGGGGACUGCUUUUGUGCCUUUCCCCUA